GUGGCGUUUCUGCAUUGACUAUCGUGCUCUUAACGCCAAGACAUCCAAGGACAAAUUUCCUAUACCUGUGGACGAUGAACUCCUGGACGAGCUACGUGGGGCCCGCUUCUUCACUAAGCUCGACCUUCGUUUCGUCUACCACCAGGUUCGGAUGCACCUGGACGACGUCGCGAAGACGACCUUUCCUACCCAUCACGGCCACUUCGAGUUCUUGGUGAUGCCUUUCGGCCUCUCCAAUGCCCCGGCGACAUUUCAGGCCUUGAUGAACGACGUCCUCCGCCCUUACUUGCGGCGGUUUGUGCUUGUGUUCUUCGACGACAUCCUCAUCUACAGCUCCUCAUGGGCAGAGCACGUGCAGCACGUUGCCAUCAUCUUCAACGAGCUUCGGGCGCACCGGCUUCUGUGUUGUAAUUGGAUUGUUUUUCGUAUCAGCGCCUGCUAAAUCGAUAAGUGAGGACCCGUAGUUUCCUAUUUAUGAAACGUAUACUCCAAUGCCAUUCUCAUAGUUGUAUUGUCUUAUCAUUCAAACUUUUCUUCAGAUUCUCACUGAUCCAUUCAUUUGAUAAGCCGUACGAUGAGAAUGCUCUAAGAUUGAUGAAGGCAUCUGCUUCUCUGAUGAUGGAGCGAUUCCCUGAUAUUAUCUUUGGAUAUUGCUUUAGCCAGUGGCGGAGGUACACUAUCAAAGUUGGGCGGGGCAGUACAAAGGAAAUUCACUAUUUUUUCUUUCACAGCUCAGUCUACUCUGAAUCCUCCACUACAUUUGCUACUGGCUGGGUGGGCUGUGGCCUACUUUUUGUACAUGUAGCUCCGCCAGUGGGUUUAGCAAUGAGUACAGAUUGGAUAUUCCCUGGUAUUAUUUUUGACUGUGAGGUUAGUAAUGAGAAUAUUGUGAAAAGGACAGGAAAAAAAUGUGGUUCUGCAUGGCACAAAAUGCCCUCUUCUCAUCAUACGAAGUUAUUUGAAUUGAAUAUAUUGGAAAGUAAGGUAUCCUGUAUCUUGUUAGUGCAAAUGUGAGUGCAAUGCACUUAGCAUAAGCAGGUAUUUUUACAUUUGUUGGAUGGCAAGCCUGGACAUUUGAUGCAAAUGCUCAUUUUUACUGUUUGUUAGUGUUGCAGCUUUGUGUUCCAGGAUCUCACAGGAUUAUAUCAGAGAGAUGAGAGGUACUCAUUUAAUUUUGUGGAUUUUGUACAGUACAUGUUUUGAACCGGCGAAGUUUAAGUGGUAAGAUAUGCGGCCUCUUUGGCACACUAAUUACUUCUUCAUGUUCAUCAUCUUUCACUUCUUUUUACAUGAUGAAGUGGAAAGAAUAUUUUCCCAACAAAGAAAUAGUGCAGCCACCACACUUCGACGCAGAAGUUCUCUGUUACCCAAAGCCAAAGAUUGUUUCAGAUUAUUUGUCAUGGAGACAAGCAGAAUUAUCCUGAUGCAACGGCUUGUGCAGACUUACAUGCAAGGAACUACAGAGGAAGAGCAAGUACAAUAGAGCUGAGUCAGCUGGCUAUAAGGAAUAAACUAAUAUAUUUUUAUUUAGUUAGAGAAACUAUUGUACAUGUUGGCUAUAUUAUUGUACUUGCUCUAAGGAGUUUUCAAGCAAGACUCCUCCCAAAUACAGUAGUGGAUAACAGCAUCUUGGGUUAGGUAUUAGAUAUGGUUUGGCUACAGCAGCCACCAGACUGUAUUCUGCAAGUUUUGUUGGACGAGAUCCCUUCUGGGGUAGUUUAAAUAAAGUACUUCCUCUAUAAAUUAAUAUAAAAAUAUUUAGAUAACUAAAAUAAUGAUCUAAUCGUUUUUAUAUUAAUUUAGUACGAGUUUUGAUUCUCAAAAAAGAAAUAAAAAAUGUCGAUCGGUGAAAUCUCUGGUGGGCCGGAUACAGCGUCAGCGCGCGUGCGUGCCGACUCGGCCCAUGCGGACGAGCGUACGGGUUUUAUACUCUAAUAAUUGUCCCACCUCGCCUGCUGUGGCACGCUGCGACCAGUUUAUAUACUGGUGGCCUCUAAUCCUAUUGCCUCCACGGGGACAACCAGCCGAGAAAGAGGCCUCAGAGCCCAAGAAAAGAGUAAAGAGGCCUCAGAGCCCACAGAAAAAAGAAAAGAGGCCAUAGAGCCCACAAAAAAAAUGAAAAGAGGCCUCAGCGCCCAUGAAAAGAGGCCAGAGCCGAAAAAAAGGACCUAGGCCCGUGCCCAAAGAAAAAAUAAAGGCUAAGUGCCCGUGGACGCUGUGCUAGACAUUAGCACAUGGCAUUUUGAUUUUUAAACCUUCUUUUAAUUACUAAUUUUUUUCUGAUACAAAAAAUGAAAAGAGGCCUCAGCGCCCAUGAAAAGAGGCCAGAGCCGAAUAAAAGGACCUAGGCCCGUGCCCAAAGAAAAAAUAAAGGCUAAGUGCCCGUGGACGCUGUGCUAGACAUUAGCACAUGGCAUUUU
Molecule: long non-coding RNA, 2420 nt
Organism: Hordeum vulgare subsp. vulgare (domesticated barley)
Lineage: Eukaryota; Viridiplantae; Streptophyta; Magnoliopsida; Poales; Poaceae
Exons: 2
Source: RefSeq, a predicted model, not a curated record